This 827-nucleotide ribosomal RNA is filed under the name uncultured Actinomycetes bacterium. Its description in RNAcentral is "bacterial SSU rRNA". It matches the Rfam family "Bacterial small subunit ribosomal RNA", at positions 616 to 1445 of the family's 1533-position model. Lineage: Bacteria; Bacillati; Actinomycetota; Actinomycetes. The record is from RNAcentral.
CUGACCUGCAUUCGAUACGGUCGAGCUAGAGUGUGGUAGGGGAGACUGGAAUUCCUGGUGUAGCGGUGGAAUGCGCAGAUAUCAGGAGGAACACCGAUGGCGAAGGCAGGUCUCUGGGCCAUUACUGACACUGAGGAGCGAAAGCGUGGGGAGCGAACAGGAUUAGAUACCCUGGUAGUCCACGCCGUAAACGGUGGGCGCUAGUUGUGCGAACCUUCCACGGUUUGUGCGACGCAGCUAACGCAUUAAGCGCCCCGCCUGGGGAGUACGAUCGCAAGAUUAAAACUCAAAGGAAUUGACGGGGCCCCGCACAAGCAGCGGAGCAUGCGGCUUAAUUCGACGCAACGCGAAGAACCUUACCAAGGCUUGACAUAUACAGGAAUACGGCAGAGAUGUCGUAGCCGCAAGGUCUGUAUACAGGUGGUGCAUGGUUGUCGUCAGCUCGUGUCGUGAGAUGUUGGGUUAAGUCCCGCAACGAGCGCAACCCUCGUUCUGUGUUGCCAGCAUUUAGUUGGGGACUCACAGGAGACUGCCGGGGUUAACUCGGAGGAAGGUGGGGAUGACGUCAAAUCAUCAUGCCCCUUAUGUCUUGGGCUGCACGCAUGCUACAAUGGCUGGUACAAACGGCUGCAAUACCGCAAGGUGGAGCGAAUCCGAGAAAGCCAGUCUCAGUUCGGAUUGGGGUCUGCAACUCGACCCCAUGAAGUCGGAGUUGCUAGUAAUCGUAGAUCAGCAACGCUACGGUAAAUACGUUCCCGGGGCUUGUACACACCGCCCGUCACGUCACGAAAGUCGGUAACACCCAAAGUCAGUGGCCCAACCGUAAG